Long non-coding RNA from Stegostoma tigrinum, 249 nucleotides. RefSeq lists it as uncharacterized. The transcript has 3 exons. NCBI's taxonomy places the organism in Eukaryota, Metazoa, Chordata, Chondrichthyes, Orectolobiformes, Stegostomatidae. The record is from RefSeq and is a predicted model, not a curated record.
GUUAACCAAAAAUGGGAAAUACUUCUGUUCACAAACCCAACCAUCUACCUGUGAGGACUUCUCCCUCCAUGAAUAUCUUUGAAGGAAAGGUCUUAUGACAGCAUUUGUGGAAGACAUCACAGAGCAGGUGCAAUCUUACAUAUUUCGGUGGAGAAAUCAGAGAACAAGCUUCAAGCUCAGUAAACUUUAUUUAUUACAAAGAUACAGUUAUUUCAACUUAUCUUAAUCACCAUCUUUAUUUCUAGAUGU